This 1398-nucleotide ribosomal RNA is filed under the name uncultured bacterium. RNAcentral describes it as "bacterial SSU rRNA". It matches the Rfam family "Bacterial small subunit ribosomal RNA". The record is from RNAcentral.
GAGUUUGAAUAUGGCUCAGGAUGAACGCUGGCUACAGGCUUAACACAUGCAAGUCGCGGGGCAGCAUGGGGAUUUGCUUGCAAUCUCUGAUGGCGACCGGCGCACGGGUGAGUAACACGUAUCCGACCUGCCUAUUACCACGGUAUAACCCGAUGAAAGUCGGCCUAAUCCCGUAUGUAGUCUUCCAAUGGCAUCAGCAGUAGACGAAAGGUUUAGCGGUAAUGGAUGGGGAUGCGUCCGAUUAGCUAGUCGGUGAGGUAACGGCUCACCGAGGCUACGAUCGGUAGGGGUUCUGAGAGGAAGGUCCCCCACACUGGAACUGAGACACGGUCCAGACUCCUACGGGAGGCAGCAGUGAGGAAUAUUGGUCAAUGGGCGAGAGCCUGAACCAGCCAAGUAGCGUGCAGGAUGACGGCCUUAUGGGUUGUAAACUGCUUUUAUGCGAGGAUAAAGGUACCCACGUGUGGGUGUUUGCAGGUAUCGCAUGAAUAAGGACCGGCUAAUUCCGUGCCAGCAGCCGCGGUAAUACGGAAGGUUCUGGCGUUAUCCGGAUUUAUUGGGUUUAAAGGGAGCGUAGGCUGUUUUUUAAGCGUGUUGUGAAAUGUACCGGCUCAACCGGUGAUGUGCAGCGCGAACUGGAAGACUUGAGUGUGUUGUAAGUAGGCGGAAUUCGUGGUGUAGCGGUGAAAUGCUUAGAUAUCACGAGGAACUCCGAUUGCGUAGGCAGCUUACUGUCUCACUACUGACGCUGAUGCUCGAAAGCGCGGGUAUCGAACAGGAUUAGAUACCCUGGUAGUCCGCGCGGUAAACGAUGGAUGCUCGUUGUUGGUAUUUUAUAUAUCAGUGACUUAGCGAAAGCGUUAAGCAUCCCACCUGGGGAGUACGCCGGCAACGGUGAAACUCAAAGGAAUUGACGGGGGCCCGCACAAGCGGAGGAACAUGUGGUUUAAUUCGAUGAUACGCGAGGAACCUUACCCGGGCUUGAACUGCCGGCGAACGAUUCAGAGAUGAUGAGGCCUUUCGGGGCGCCGGUGGAGGUGCUGCAUGGUUGUCGUCAGCUCGUGCCGUGAGGUGUCGGCUUAAGUGCCAUAACGAGCGCAACCCCUUUUUAUAGUUGCCAUCGGGUAAUGCCGGGCACUCUGUAGAUACUGCCACCGUAAGGUGUGAGGAAGGUGGGGAUGACGUCAAAUCAGCACGGCCCUUACGUCCGGGGCUACACACGUGUUACAAUGGCGCAUACAGAGAGUUGGUUGUAUGUAAAUACGGUCUAAUCUUGAAAGUGCGUCUCAGUUCGGACUGGGGUCUGCAACCCGACCCCACGAAGCUGGAUUCGCUAGUAAUCGCGCAUCAGCCAUGGCGCGGUGAAUACGUUCCCGGGCCUUGUACACACCGCCCGUC